Molecule: ribosomal RNA, 2214 nt
Filed under: Salmonella enterica
Lineage: Bacteria; Pseudomonadati; Pseudomonadota; Gammaproteobacteria; Enterobacterales; Enterobacteriaceae
Description: partial 23S ribosomal RNA
Rfam family: Bacterial large subunit ribosomal RNA
Source: RNAcentral
AGACCCGAAACCCGGUGAUCUAGCCAUGGGCAGGUUGAAGGUUGGGUAACACUAACUGGAGGACCGAACCGACUAAUGUUGAAAAAUUAGCGGAUGACCUGUGGCUGGGGGUGAAAGGCCAAUCAAACCGGGAGAUAGCUGGUUCUCCCCGAAAGCUAUUUAGGUAGCGCCUCGUGAAUUCAUCUCCGGGGGUAGAGCACUGUUUCGGCUAGGGGGCCAUCCCGGCUUACCAACCCGAUGCAAACUGCGAAUACCGGAGAAUGUUAUCACGGGAGACACACGGCGGGUGCUAACGUCCGUCGUGAAGAGGGAAACAACCCAGACCGCCAGCUAAGGUCCCAAAGUCAUGGUUAAGUGGGAAACGAUGUGGGAAGGCCCAGACAGCCAGGAUGUUGGCUUAGAAGCAGCCAUCAUUUAAAGAAAGCGUAAUAGCUCACUGGUCGAGUCGGCCUGCGCGGAAGAUGUAACGGGGCUAAACCAUGCACCGAAGCUGCGGCAGCGAACGUAUCACCCAAGACAACUUUACGGAGUUGACGAUUGACGGAGCGAAGCGACGUCAAAGCGUUCAUUAAAGUCGAGUUGGCUUAGGGAUACGUUCGUUGGGUAGGGGAGCGUUCUGUAAGCCUGUGAAGGUGUGUCGUGAGGCAUGCUGGAGGUAUCAGAAGUGCGAAUGCUGACAUAAGUAACGAUAAAGCGGGUGAAAAGCCCGCUCGCCGGAAGACCAAGGGUUCCUGUCCAACGUUAAUCGGGGCAGGGUGAGUCGACCCCUAAGGCGAGGCCGAAAGGCGUAGUCGAUGGGAAACGGGUUAAUAUUCCCGUACUUGGUGUUACUGCGAAGGGGGGACGGAGAAGGCUAUGUUGGCCGGGCGACGGUUGUCCCGGUUUAAGCGUGUAGGUGUGUGUUCCAGGUAAAUCCGGUUCACUUUAACACUGAGGCGUGACGACGAGGCACUACGGUGCUGAAGCAACAAAUGCCCUGCUUCCAGGAAAAGCCUCUAAGCAUCAGGUAACAUCAAAUCGUACCCCAAACCGACACAGGUGGUCAGGUAGAGAAUACCAAGGCGCUUGAGAGAACUCGGGUGAAGGAACUAGGCAAAAUGGUGCCGUAACUUCGGGAGAAGGCACGCUGACACGUAGGUGAAGUGAUUUACUCAUGGAGCUGAAGUCAGUCGAAGAUACCAGCUGGCUGCAACUGUUUAUUAAAAACACAGCACUGUGCAAACACGAAAGUGGACGUAUACGGUGUGACGCCUGCCCGGUGCCGGAAGGUUAAUUGAUGGGGUCAGCGCAAGCGAAGCUCCUGAUCGAAGCCCCGGUAAACGGCGGCCGUAACUAUAACGGUCCUAAGGUAGCGAAAUUCCUUGUCGGGUAAGUUCCGACCUGCACGAAUGGCGUAAUGAUGGCCAGGCUGUCUCCACCCGAGACUCAGUGAAAUUGAACUCGCUGUGAAGAUGCAGUGUACCCGCGGCAAGACGGAAAGACCCCGUGAACCUUUACUAUAGCUUGACACUGAACAUUGAGCCUUGAUGUGUAGGAUAGGUGGGAGGCUUUGAAGUGUGGACGCCAGUCUGCAUGGAGCCGACCUUGAAAUACCACCCUUUAAUGUUUGAUGUUCUAACGUGGACCCGUAAUCCGGGUUGCGGACAGUGUCUGGUGGGUAGUUUGACUGGGGCGGUCUCCUCCUAAAGAGUAACGGAGGAGCACGAAGGUUGGCUAAUCCUGGUCGGACAUCAGGAGGUUAGUGCAAUGGCAUAAGCCAGCUUGACUGCGAGCGUGACGGCGCGAGCAGGUGCGAAAGCAGGUCAUAGUGAUCCGGUGGUUCUGAAUGGAAGGGCCAUCGCUCAACGGAUAAAAGGUACUCCGGGGAUAACAGGCUGAUACCGCCCAAGAGUUCAUAUCGACGGCGGUGUUUGGCACCUCGAUGUCGGCUCAUCACAUCCUGGGGCUGAAGUAGGUCCCAAGGGUAUGGCUGUUCGCCAUUUAAAGUGGUACGCGAGCUGGGUUUAGAACGUCGUGAGACAGUUCGGUCCCUAUCUGCCGUGGGCGCUGGAGAACUGAGGGGGGCUGCUCCUAGUACGAGAGGACCGGAGUGGACGCAUCACUGGUGUUCGGGUUGUCAUGCCAAUGGCACUGCCCGGUAGCUAAAUGCGGAAGAGAUAAGUGCUGAAAGCAUCUAAGCACGAAACUUGCCCCGAGAUGAGUUCUCCCUGAGAC